UACGAAGGGUGCAAACGUUGCUCGGAAUUAUUGGGCGUAAAGCGUGCGCAGGCGGUUUUGUAAGUCAGAUGUGAAAUCCCCGGGCUUAACCUGGGAACUGCGUUUGAAACUACAAGGCUAGAGUGUGACAGAGGGGGGUGGAAUUCCACGUGUAGCAGUGAAAUGCGUAGAGAUGUGGAGGAACACCGAUGGCGAAGGCAGCCCCCUGGGUUAACACUGACGCUCAGGCACGAAAGCGUGGGGAGCAAACAGG
RNAcentral lists this ribosomal RNA (253 nucleotides) under uncultured bacterium. RNAcentral's name for it is "partial 16S ribosomal RNA". It matches the Rfam family "Bacterial small subunit ribosomal RNA", at positions 524 to 776 of the family's 1533-position model. The record is from RNAcentral.